Long non-coding RNA from Mercenaria mercenaria, 1220 nucleotides. RefSeq lists it as uncharacterized. The transcript is spliced from 5 exons. The record is from RefSeq and is a predicted model, not a curated record. Lineage: Eukaryota; Metazoa; Mollusca; Bivalvia; Venerida; Veneridae.
UUUAGUUGUGUACAAAAAAUAUAGAUCCUGUAAGUUUCGGUGCGGGGGUCGUUGCAGGCUGUGCUUCCCGGCCAUUGUGUACACCAGACGGGACAACUGCAAUGUCAUCUAAGAAACGUUCUACUUGACUUUAUGCGGACGUCGUCAAAACAGCGGUCCAUUUUCACCAAGCAGCGUUGACGUCUUUCACGCCUUUUCUUUGCUGUUUAUACGAAAUAAACGUCAUAAUGGUCCAUGGAAAAGAAUAGGGCGACUUUAUAACAGCUGGUGGGGUAGCUCUAUGGCAUUAUAAAGAGCAGAUUGGUAAAUUAUUAACGGACCUAACGAAGUGGGUAAACAUGAAGAUAAAGUCAUUGGCAAGAUACGCACAAGAAAUCUUCAGAGCCGUUGCAGAAACGACAAGGCAACUCGUGUUAUCAGCUUAUCAAUCCCUGAGCAACCGAUGGAAUUCAAUUUCCCCAGAAAACCGAAGAAGGAUAUUAGACGCUACGGGUUGUGUUGUAAACGCAGGUAUAAAUGCAGCCAUUGGAAAUGCUGAAAAUCAAAUCAGAAUUAGAUUUCCAAAUCCAGACGCACCUGAAAGGCAAGUUUUAGAAGACAUGGCUUCGGAAAUGAGGCGAUUUCAAAUUGAGCAUGGACAGUCAAUGACCAGAUAUCUAACAUAGCUUGAUUGAGCAAAGGCUUAUACAAAACUUAAUAUUCGACUAAUCACCAUGAAAUUAUGUCAUCUUUUGUCAAAACAAAUACUAGUAUGAUAUAUACAUAAAAACAAAUAUGAUAUAUACAUAAAACAGUGUAUGAUCAACAUAAAAGAGAUGAGCAUUCCUUUUGUUUGUAUAAAAAGUAUUUUAAGACAUAAUAUGUACAUACAGUUUAGGGCUUAUAAUCACUAGGUUUCGCUUACUGCUGUUUACAUAUCUGCAUUUGUGUACGAUUUGAAACAUUAAUCAUUUAUUUCUAUGUAGACAACAUGAUAUCUUAAAAUUCUAGUAUGAGAGGAUCACUAUCAAAAUAAAUAUUAUAUAUGUGUAUGUUUAAAUUGAAAUUUGCAUGAUAUCAAUUAACUUAUGUGUGUAUUAUGAAAAUGGAUUAAUUUCAUAAAACUCUUGUAUUGUAUUGUAUUCGUAAUAGGCUACUUGCUGUAGAAUAUUUAGUUACUUUUAUGUACUUAUCUCUUGAUUUCUUUUGAUUAUGAAGAAAAACAUGCAAACUCUUUAAAA